ACCCAACUCACCAUCUUCAUCAUCAUCCUCCAAUUCCUCGCUAUCGAUCCCAAAUCCCAAACCCAAUACACCAUCAUCACCAUAAAGCUCAAUCAUGUCAUUAUUGGGGACAUUUUCUUUGAUAUCCAAUUCAACAUCCCCAAACACUUCCUUGUACUUCAAGAAAUUUUCCCAGUGAUUCUCUCCAUCUUUCCAGCUGAACUCGUUGCUUGAUGUUCUGAUUUUCUGCUUGACACCCAGAUACUGAUGUCGCAUGUUUUGAACUUUGAUGGAUACGUCACGCCAUGACCAUUUGAAAGGGAAGUGAAGUGGGUCUUGCAGGUGAUGUACGGUGUUGACAUGGUCAGCAAUGGGUUUGAAUUUUUUCUCUCUGGUUUUGAGCUUCGCUAAGAUGCCGGAGUUAAGGAGGUCUGAGUACUUAGUGAGCAGAGUUUGUUCUUCCACUUCAGACCAUUUCUUGCGCUUCAUCUUCUUCUUGAUCCUCACUUUUCGGGUUCAGAGUUAGGGUUACGCUUACAUUCGGG
This 524-nucleotide unclassified non-coding RNA is filed under the name Hevea brasiliensis (rubber tree). The record is from RNAcentral. Lineage: Eukaryota; Viridiplantae; Streptophyta; Magnoliopsida; Malpighiales; Euphorbiaceae.